RNAcentral lists this long non-coding RNA (397 nucleotides) under Rattus norvegicus (Norway rat). RNAcentral describes it as "long non-coding RNA NONRATT017710". Lineage: Eukaryota; Metazoa; Chordata; Mammalia; Rodentia; Muridae. The record is from RNAcentral.
UGCUCCCAUGACCAAAGAUGCCGUGUUGGGCAGCGGAUCUAUGACAAGGAGGAACCAGGACUGUAUAUAGCCUCUUUCUUCCCAGAAACCUUGAUGUGGGGAUCUGGAAAGAACCGGAAGAAAGGCUUACACAAGACGUCACACCUCCCUCAACUGCCCGCUCUGAGACCGAUUCCGCAAUCUGAAACAUUUUACAGUAAACCCUGCAGUUACUGCACUGGGCGAUCUAUAUGGUGUCUAUGCGGUCGCUAUGAUGACGAGCACAGGAGAGUAACCAGCGUGUGCACUGAUCAAUGUUUCGUUUCCCCUCUUCUGAGAACUGGAUGAGACAUUUACCUCUGACCUUUGCAAACUAAGCAAACCACACCGCUGUGAAAUAAAAUAAGGUAUCUGUGAA